GCCGGGCGUGGUGGCUCACGCCUGUAAUCCCAGCCCUUUGGGAGGCUGAGGUGGGUGGAUCACCUGAGGUCAGGAGUUCGAGACCAGCCUGACCAACAUGGAGAAACCCCAUCUCUA
This 117-nucleotide signal recognition particle RNA is filed under the name Gorilla gorilla gorilla (western lowland gorilla). RNAcentral's name for it is "Metazoan signal recognition particle RNA". It matches the Rfam family "Metazoan signal recognition particle RNA". Rfam says of the family: The signal recognition particle (SRP) is a universally conserved ribonucleoprotein. It is involved in the co-translational targeting of proteins to membranes. The record is from Rfam by way of RNAcentral. Lineage: Eukaryota; Metazoa; Chordata; Mammalia; Primates; Hominidae.